GACAGAGGUGCCGAGCGUUAGGCGGAAUCACUGGGCUUAAAGCGUGUGUAGGCGGAUCGUUAAGUACCUUGUGAAAUCCCACGGCUUAACCGUGGAACUGCUGGGUAUACUGGCGAUCUUGAGCCACCUAGGGGCAACCGGAACAAAUGGUGGAGCGGUAAAAUGCGUAGAUAUCAUUUGGAACGCCAAUGGUGAAAACAGGUUGCUGGGGGUGUGCUGACGCUGAGACACGAAAGCCAGGGGAGCGAACGGG
RNAcentral lists this ribosomal RNA (253 nucleotides) under uncultured bacterium. RNAcentral describes it as "partial 16S ribosomal RNA". It matches the Rfam family "Bacterial small subunit ribosomal RNA", at positions 524 to 776 of the family's 1533-position model. The record is from RNAcentral.